RNAcentral lists this transfer RNA (77 nucleotides) under Methylococcaceae bacterium. RNAcentral's name for it is "tRNA-OTHER". The record is from RNAcentral. Lineage: Bacteria; Pseudomonadati; Pseudomonadota; Gammaproteobacteria; Methylococcales; Methylococcaceae.
GGGGCUAUAGCUCAAGCUGGGAGAGCACCCAGCUCUGGUACGCAGGGGGUCAAGUGGUCUGAUCCCAUUUAGCUCCA